Molecule: non-coding RNA, 244 nt
Organism: Pelobates cultripes (western spadefoot toad)
Lineage: Eukaryota; Metazoa; Chordata; Amphibia; Anura; Pelobatidae
Source: the annotation of a GenBank genome assembly
GGACACAGAUACACACACAGAGAUACAUACUAACAGACACACGUACUGAAACAGACAUACACGCAUAUAGGCAUACAUACUGACACACACAUACUGAGACAUACACACAUAUAUAGACACACAGGCAUACAUAGUGACAGACACAUACUAACAUACAUACAGACACAUACAUAUUCAUAAUGACAUACAUUCAUAUAAAAUCUUUUUUUAUCUUGUUGGUGUUUGUGGAGAAGUCGCACUUCUU